RNAcentral lists this ribosomal RNA (373 nucleotides) under uncultured bacterium. Its description in RNAcentral is "bacterial SSU rRNA". It matches the Rfam family "Bacterial small subunit ribosomal RNA", at positions 523 to 898 of the family's 1533-position model. The record is from RNAcentral.
AUACGGAGGGUGCAAGCGUUAUCCGGAUUUAUUGGGUUUAAAGGGUCCGUAGGCUGAUUUGUAAGUCAGUGGUGAAAUCUCACAGCUUAACUGUGAAACUGCCAUUGAUACUGCAAGUCUUGAGUGUUGUUGAAGUAGCUGGAAUAAGUAGUGUAGCGGUGAAAUGCAUAGAUAUUACUUAGAACACCAAUUGCGAAGGCAGGUUACUAAGCAACAACUGACGCUGAUGGACGAAAGCGUGGGGAGCGAACAGGAUUAGAUACCCUGGUAGUCCACGCCGUAAACGAUGCUAACUCGUUUUUGGGUUUUCGGAUUCAGAGACUAAGCGAAAGUGAUAAGUUAGCCACCUGGGGAGUACGAACGCAAGUUUGAA